Clupea harengus (Atlantic herring) is the source of this 1982-nucleotide long non-coding RNA. The record is from Ensembl. Lineage: Eukaryota; Metazoa; Chordata; Actinopteri; Clupeiformes; Clupeidae.
GUAAGUGUCUACCUGGGUUAUUUGUGUAUUGUGUGUUUUUUAUUUAGUAUUGAACUACAAACAAUGCAUGUGUACUGCAUGUGUCAUUCAAGUGAAGAUUAACUGACUUAUUUUACGGUCAUAUAUAUAUAUAACAGCCCAGGACCUCUUUGAAACUGACUACAAAAAAAAUGAUUUCUGUGUCCUCCCCCAAAAGACUAUUGAUUCGCACCAAUUGUAGGUGAACAUAAUCAUUUAUCUUCCCCGAAGCUUGGGCUGUGUAAAGUUAAAAGUUGAAAGGCCUCAACUUUCUCAGGUCGGCACCUCUGCAGCGCUUGAACACACCCUGGGAGAGGCUCUCCUUCUGUCUCCCUUUUUUUAUCCUCUCAUAGGGCAACUUUCAGCCACUGCCACUUAGUGACUUUCUAAAACAAAUGGAGUGUCGAGCCCUUUUAGCCCAGAUGAAUCAUCUGCAGGUAGCCGGAGCGUUUUUCUCCGCGGCAGCAGCAGCCCCAUAUGUUAUCUCCUCGCACUUCAGCGCGGUGAACAAUGCGAAGGUCAGAUGGGUGGGCAGAGUUUUCCAACAAAGAGCAGCUCGGGGGACUCAGGCGCCUAAUCUACUGCAGACAGACCACAAGCGCAAUGUGCAACUUAUCUGGGACCUGAAUGCAAAAUAGCAUGACCGAACAUCUCAAUCAGGGCAAUACUGAAGUACACUCAGUUAGCAUUUAAUGCUAUACAAAAAGCUCUCAGGCAGGAUCGCUAUACCUGUGGGUGUCCAGUGACUGGAGGGCACUCCAUUUCCAUUAAUAUUGUAUUCAGAUGAAUCGACUUAGUUACAUGUCAGCAUGGUACUCCAGCAUACCUCAUCUGCACCUUUUAUCAUUUUAUACUCAAGUUCAUUUAGCACUUAAUACUAUAUGAGUGCUUUAAGACAACAUUUAGUAUUGGUGCUGUCAGUAUUUAGAAUUUAUUUUGUAUGUAUCAUUAAUAUUUGGGAGAUUUUUUAAAAGAGAUUGAUAACAGCAUACCCCUUUUAUUAUGAGUGAUCCCCAUAUAAUGGUGUGUUUUGCACUUCUGUGUUAUAAUUUCAAAUCGGACCACCUCUUCCAUUUCCUCUUCUUUGAUGAAAGGGAUUUCAUGGCCGUGAGGCUCUCUAAACUGACCUGGGUUUUCAUCUUUACAGCUGUUGGACAGGCCCUCUCUGGCUUCAUAUGAUCAUUUUCGUGAGUGUUGAUACUGUUAGUGGUGGUAGCAUGUCCUCUCUAUGUCUUUUCUUUGCUGUGUCUUGAUCCUAAGGAUAAGCCUUCCAGACACAUCUUUAGAAUAGGAGGCAUAAUCAGAUACAUUUGAUUCACAUUUACUCAUUCUGGCUCUGUCACAGUGGCCUGAAUGCUUUUCUCAGAGACAAACCUAUAAGGGUUCUUACACACUAGAGCUUUUGGUGAGGGUCCGCUUGAGUCGUGAGUUACGUUGGUUUUGUUGAUGUGAAAGCUAUUUAAAACCAGGAAGUAAGCGCUUUUUAUGACUGCUGAUGGAUCCAAAUUGUCUCACAAUAAAUACAUCAAUGUUAAAUAUGAAAUUAUUUAUUAACAUGCAAUUUUCUAAAAUGCUAACAGUCUUGAAAAAAGUGACUAAAGGACAGCUAAUGGUGGCAAUUUAUGCUUGAGAGUAUGCAUGCUCUGCUUGAGGGUAUAGCUGCUCUGCUUGAGAGUAUGCAUGCUCUGCUUGAGAGUAUGCAUGCUCUGCUUGAGGGUAUAGCUGCUCUGCUUGAGGGUAUAGCUGCUCUGCUUGAGGGUAUAGAUGUUCUGCUUGAGGGUAUAGAUGCUCUGCUUGGGGGUAUAGCUGUUCUGCUUGAGGGUAUAGCUGUUCUGCUUGAGGUUUUGCAUGCUGUGCUUGAGGGUAUAGGUGCUCUGCUUGGGGGUAUAGCUGCUCUGCUUGAGGGUAUAGCUGCUCUGCUUGAGGGUGCAUGCUGCAUCUCGCUUUGCCUCCUGUUUUCUGCA